AAUAAUUUAGACAGAGAAUAUCCUACAAAGUAUCCGGAAUCAGUUGAGAAGUCAACAUGCUCUUUUGAAAAAAUUGAAAUUUUAAAAGCUACCCACUCAAAGUUCACUUCAUGUCUUGAUGAUUCUCCAAAACCCAUUUCAAUCACUCUUCUCUCAAAUGCAUUCAACUCUUCAUCAAGUAUGGAAUCUUUGCUGCUGACAAAGUUAUGGAAGCAUGAAAAGAAGAAACCUUUUUAUUUAUUUAUUUACUUUUAUUGAACUUAUUCAUUCAUUUUGACUAUCAUUUCAUAUUUUAUCAUAUUAAAUUCUACUCUACCUUCCUGGAGUUCAUUCUCCGAGGAACUCUGUUUAAAUUAUUCUGCUGAAAUCAUAUAAAGACAAUUCUUAUUUAGUAUAGCUAUUUACACAAUAAUUUGAUGAUUAAGAAGCAUCUUGUCGAGUGUUAGGUCUAAAUGGGUUUUCUAUUGGUUCAAAUUCGCGUUUAGGAGCAUCAUUUUUUUAUGUUGAAUUAGGUGCAUUCUGCUAUGUUAAUUGGAAUGUUGGUAUGAUACUUUGAUGAAGCUACCCUUGUCAUAGAAAAAAUUAUCUCCUCAAAAUACUAAGAAAUGGGAAUGGAAACCAUUUUUUUUACUUCAUGUUGAGGGUGAAGAAUAUGGCAUUAACAAAGAAUCAGUCAGUCGCAUGACAUGAAGAGAAAUGGUGGUUUAAUUUUCAAUAGCCAGUUAUCGAACUUAUUUCCUCCAGCACUAAAGUUGGAUAAAAUUUUACCCAAUUGUUUGAUCCCCCUGAUAAUGCAAUGCUUGAUUUACCUUCCGCAUCAAGUCUGUCUUCUUCUUUGAAUCACCACUUUAUCUCAGUCUCAAUGUUGAAUCUUCAACUACGGAAUUUUCUCAUGAACUCAAUUAAGCUAAAAGAAUAUGAAGUACAGACUCAAUGGAAUGAAAUUGCCACAAAAAUGAUGAAAGGGGGUACAUGCAUUACCUGUAACCAGAAUGCUGAAACGGGGACAUCGUAGGUCUGUAGUUUGUCCCAAACAUCUCGUACAAGAUCUGUGCCACCCUGCAUUCCAACCACGGCACCAGAUAUAAUCCACUCAGGAAGCUCUGGUGGUCUUCCGAUGACUUCUGUGAAUUGUUCAAUAAACUCCAAAGCUGCUACAACAGCUGUUCGCUUUAAAAGAUGCCCAGACCAACCAAGUUGACGCCUCCUAAACUGGCUCAGCCUCCGCGAAAAGCCCUGCUAAUGCCGCAGAGACAAAGGCUUGUCCAGGGAUGGUAGACCAUAUGGGUCUGUUGGGCUGAGAUUGAUGAGAAAUUGAGAGAGACCCACCAUUCUUGGAUUGCCAAGUUAACUGAAAAUUCUUCCCAAUGCAAAAGAUUUUUUGUGAAGGGAGUGUUGGGGGAUUGAAAGAUAGAGUUCCUUGAAUACAAGGGAGAGAUCUUGGAUUUGAAGGGAAGGGGUUGUUGAGAUGUUUGUGGUGCUUUUUUGUGAUUUUGAGAGUUUCCAUUUUGGAUACAAGAGAGAGCUCAUGGAGUCAUGGGUAUAUAUAUAUAUAUGUUCAUAUAUCAAUAUUUUUUCAUUGAAAAAGUGUAUAUAUAUAUUGACGGUGGUAUGUGGGGAAAAGAAAAGAUAAGAAACUUCUUGCAUGAAAAUGCCUGUUGUUAUCGGCACUGGUGAUAGAGAUGGUUUUGAAAGAUUGGUUUCGAACUUGGAACAAUGAAUUUGUUUAAGCGGUUGUACUAAAUUGACCAAGUUGCCCUCAUUAAUUAACAUUUAUAAAACGGAGUGUAUUUUAUGAAUAA
Non-coding RNA from Camellia sinensis, 1802 nucleotides. The record is from RefSeq and is a predicted model, not a curated record. Lineage: Eukaryota; Viridiplantae; Streptophyta; Magnoliopsida; Ericales; Theaceae.